Molecule: ribosomal RNA, 462 nt
Filed under: Escherichia coli
Lineage: Bacteria; Pseudomonadati; Pseudomonadota; Gammaproteobacteria; Enterobacterales; Enterobacteriaceae
Description: partial 23S ribosomal RNA
Rfam family: Bacterial large subunit ribosomal RNA
Source: RNAcentral
GGGUUGUGAGGUUAAGCGACUAAGCGUACACGGUGGAUGCCCUGGCAGUCAGAGGCGAUGAAGGACGUGCUAAUCUGCGAUAAGCGUCGGUGAGGUGAUAUGAACCGUUAUAACCGGCGAUUUCCGAAUGGGGAAACCCAGUGUGUUUCGACACACUAUCAUUAACUGAAUCCAUAGGUUAAUGAGGCGAACCGGGGGAACUGAAACAUCUAAGUACCCCGAGGAAAAGAAAUCAACCGAGAUUCCCCCAGUAGCGGCGAGCGAACGGGGAGGAGCCCAGAGCCUGAAUCAGUGUGUGUGUUAGUGGAAGCGUCUGGAAAGGCGUGCGAUACAGGGUGACAGCCCCGUACACAAAAAUGCACAUAUUGUGAGCUCGAUGAGUAGGGCGGGACACGUGGUAUCCUGUCUGAAUAUGGGGGGACCAUCCUCCAAGGCUAAAUACUCCUGACUGACCGAUAGUGA